AUACCUUUCUCGGCCUUUUGGCUAAGAUCAAGUGUAGUAUCUGUUCUUAUCAGUUUAAUAUCUGAUAUGUGAGUCAUCGACUCACAAGAUAUUAACUCUAUUUUUUUAGGGGGAGAGACCAUUACGGUAGCUUGCUAUCGGGGCUCUUAGGUGUCGCCUUGGUGUUGCACUAUUACCUUGGCCUGGCACGUCCCAC
This 196-nucleotide small nuclear RNA is filed under the name Nicotiana attenuata. Its description in RNAcentral is "snRNA U2". It matches the Rfam family "U2 spliceosomal RNA". From Rfam's summary of the family: U2 is a small nuclear RNA (snRNA) component of the spliceosome (involved in pre-mRNA splicing). The record is from Rfam by way of RNAcentral. Lineage: Eukaryota; Viridiplantae; Streptophyta; Magnoliopsida; Solanales; Solanaceae.